This 253-nucleotide ribosomal RNA is filed under the name uncultured bacterium. RNAcentral describes it as "partial 16S ribosomal RNA". It matches the Rfam family "Bacterial small subunit ribosomal RNA", at positions 524 to 776 of the family's 1533-position model. The record is from RNAcentral.
UACGUAGGGGGCUAGCGUUGUCCGGAUUUAUUGGGCGUAAAGAGCGUGUAGGCGGCCAGGUAGGUCUGCUGUGAAAACUCGAGGCUCAACCUCGAGACGUCGGCGGAAACCAUCUGGCUAGAGUCCGGAAGAGGAGAGUGGAAUUCCUGGUGUAGCGGUGAAAUGCGCAGAUAUCAGGAAGAACACCCGUGGCGAAGGCAGGUCUCUGGGCCACUACUGACGCUGAGAAGCGAAAGCAUGGGGAGCGAACAGG